This 469-nucleotide long non-coding RNA is filed under the name Homo sapiens (human). RNAcentral's name for it is "HSALNT0355928". The record is from RNAcentral. Lineage: Eukaryota; Metazoa; Chordata; Mammalia; Primates; Hominidae.
CCAGGGAGUUCCCAGGGUCUGCUCUUCCACUGGGGAGUGGAAGAGAGAUAUCCUGUUCAAGGCUGGUUCAGCCACCAGCUAGAUUCAGGAGCCCUGACUCCUGAUGGAAUGGUGAACCAGGGUGGAAACCAGGACAUGAAAUAAGGCUGCAGAAACUACGUGCUGAAAGGAAUAUAGUUGUGUGGGGAAUCUAGUAUGUCAACAUCACCAGUGUAGCGUUUACUGCAUGUAAAUGCCAAGAGGUAGAAUUGUUGAGUAAUGUACUAACUAUAUGUUUAUCUGCGUGAGAAACUUCAAGAUCAUCUUUCAUUCCCACAAGCAAUGUGUGAGACUUUCAGCUCCACAUCUUCAUCGACGUUUUUAGUAAUUCUAUGCUCUUUGAACAUUUUAUUUCAGAAAUUCUAUUUUUUAGUUGUAGAAUUUCCAUGUGAUCCUACUUUUCUGUUUCUACUCUUUAUACUUCUUGUUU